Molecule: ribosomal RNA, 721 nt
Filed under: uncultured bacterium
Lineage: Bacteria
Description: bacterial SSU rRNA
Rfam family: Bacterial small subunit ribosomal RNA
Source: RNAcentral
AUUUAACGGCGGCGGAAUGCUUUACACAUGCAAGUCGAACGGCAGCACGGAGAGCUUGCUCUCUGGUGGCGAGUGGCGAACGGGUGAGUAAUAUAUCGGAACGUAUCCAAUAAUGGGGGAUAACGAGUCGAAAGAUUCGCUAAUACCGCAUACGCCCUACGGGGGAAAGCAGGGGAUCGUAAGACCUUGCGUUAAUGGAGCGGCCGAUAUCUGAUUAGCUUGUUGGUGAGGUAAAGGCUCACCAAGGCGACGAUCAGUAGCUGGUUUGAGAGAACGACCAGCCACACUGGAACUGAGACACGGUCCAGACUCCUACGGGAGGCAGCAGUGGGGAAUUUUGGACAAUGGGGGCAACCCUGAUCCAGCCAUUCCGCGUGAGUGAAGAAGGCCUUCGGGUUGUAAAGCUCUUUCGCAAGGGAAGAAAACUUAUGAUCGAAUAAAUCAUGAGGUUGACGGUACCUUGAUAAGAAGCACCGGCUAACUACGUGCCAGCAGCCGCGGUAAUACGUAGGGUGCGAGCGUUAAUCGGAAUUACUGGGCGUAAAGCGUGCGCAGGCGGUUUUGUAAGUCGGAUGUGAAAUCCCCGGGCUCAACCUGGGAACUGCGUUCGAAACUGCAAGGCUAGAGUGUGUCAGAGGGGGGUAGAAUUCCACGUGUAGCAGUGAAAUGCGUAGAGAUGUGGAGGAAUACCAAUGGCGAAGGCAGCCCCCUGGGAUAACAC